UAUUUUAUUUAUGUUUUUGAAAAUAUUUGUUAUUUUAAAUUACAUUGCAACUCAAAGUUUUUAGGUUCUUUUUGUCAGUCUGAUCUCUCAUCGUAGUUACAGGGUGUUCUGCAGUCGAGCAACCUAGCUAUUACUAUGAGAGCAAAGUUCUAUGCGGCUUCGUGUCGCUGCGAGGCAUGACCACAUUUCAUGCCACAAUGUCCAGCGCAGAAAGCGUUAAAUUUUCCACAUGCAGCGUCUCUGGACUUGUAACAAGCAGUCGCUGCCAAGGGUGAAAGAGGUGUCGAUGAGGCUGAGUAUGAGGACGAGAAGGAGAAUGUGGGAGCAGCAGCCGGCAGCCAGGAGGCAGGGAAACUGCACAGUCAUAGUCCCGCGACGCAGAUCGCUGAGCAGCCUUUUGUCUACGAACUGAAGAAUAAAACGUGGAACGUGUCUGCUGGGUUGCUGUGGCUGCCACACACAACGAGUGGCAGCAUGUUCCGUGUCCUGUGAAUCCAUGUGGGCUGCGUUUUGUGGAGUCUAGAGUCUGAAGUGUGGCAUGGCAAUUAGUUGGGCCUCUGCAAUUUGUGUGCUGGCCCUAAACGCUUAUUAAUGAGUUCAAGUCAAUUUUGAGAUAUGCGCAUUAUUUAUGGCGCCGCAAUAUUGCCUGCAAGUGAAAUCUAUAAAUCUUGGCCAAGCUUUAACAGAUAAGGCCAAGACGGAGGCUAAGACGAAGUCGGACUUUGAAGCUGGCGGCUGAUGAAGAUUACGAGCGCAUAAAUCGUGGAGGAUGAGGCGUGGAUUCUGCAGCGAAUUUAUGCGCACAUUAGAGAAAAUUUCAGUCAACAACAACCACCUGGGUGGACAUUAGAGUUAUGCUCAGCAUCUGUAAAACGGGGCGUGGCACUUCUGAGCAACUUUUUGAACUCCUCUCGCUGUUGUUAGCCGAAUUUC
Long non-coding RNA from Drosophila albomicans, 933 nucleotides. RefSeq lists it as uncharacterized. The record is from RefSeq and is a predicted model, not a curated record. The transcript is spliced from 3 exons. Lineage: Eukaryota; Metazoa; Arthropoda; Insecta; Diptera; Drosophilidae.